Molecule: non-coding RNA, 1560 nt
Organism: Dama dama (fallow deer)
Lineage: Eukaryota; Metazoa; Chordata; Mammalia; Artiodactyla; Cervidae
Source: the annotation of a RefSeq genome assembly
CCUUCUGGGCUCAGCCUGGUAGCCUUUAAGAGAGAUCCUCGCUAACUUCCCUGCCUGUUAUAUCUGCUGGGAACCCAGUCUCGCUAUUGUCCCAGCCAUGCUGCGGGCCCCAGUGCUGCUUCUGGUGUUCCUGGCUCUUGUCACUCAGGUAUCUUCCAACAUGGAAGACGACAGGAUGUCAAUCACCAGGGCAACUGGGUCCUCUGCUGUAAUCCCUUGUGAUCUUCCUACACAAAGCAUCCAAUAUAUCCACUGGUACAAAUUCCAGGAGGGAACUGUACCCCGACGCCUUCUCUAUUAUGAUGUCUCUUCCUCAAAGGUUGUGUUGGAACCAGGAAUCAGUCCAGGGAAAUACCAUAGCUAUGAAGGCACAGACAAGAUGUAUAAAUUUGUAAUCUCAAAUCUUCAAGAAAGUGAUUCUGGCGUGUACCGCUGCGCUGUCUGGGAGAAGCACGUUGGUUGGAAGAAGAUAUUUGGAAAAGCAACUGAGCUCAUAGUAGCUGCCCCUGAUAGAGACCUUGAUAUAGACAUGUCCCCCAAGCCCACUAUGUUUCUUCCUUCGAUUACUGAAAUCAAGCAUGAUAAUACUGGAACAUAUCUUUGUCUUCUGGAGAAAUUUUUCCCUCAUGUUAUUAAGGUUUAUUGGAGAGAAAAAAGUGGCAACAGAGUUUUGCCAUCCCAGCAGGGAAAUACCAUGAAGACUGAUGACACAUACAUGAAGUUCAGCUGGCUGACCGUGUCGGGAAACUCCAUGGAUAAAGAACACAUGUGUAUUGUCAAACAUGAGAAAAAUAAAAGAGACAGAAAUCAAGAGAUUCUUUUUCCGUCAGUGAAUGAAGUUGCCUCUUCAGUUGUCACUACUACUAAACCUCCAAAUGAUGGUUUGAAGGAUAAAAGUGAAAAACAAACCCCUGCUGGAAAUUCUACAAAAGCAUGUCUGAAAGAUGAAAACAAUACCCUGCAGCUGCAGCUCAUGAAUACCUCUGCCUAUUACACAUACCUCCUCCUCCUCAUUAAGAGCACGGUCUACUUUGUCAUCAUCACCUCCUGUGUGUUCAGGGGAACAGGCAUCUGGGGCAGUCAGAAGAGCUCGUGACAGAGGGGCCCCAUAAGAGGAUCAGCGUUCCUUUAUCAUCUACGGUCUCUAAAAGCUCUGCUGAGAAUCUAGCCUGGUUUUUAUUCUGGAUUUGGGUUAUUUCAUGUGUUAUUUUUAUAUUAUGUCUUUAUUUUGUAAGAGUUUUUCAAACCACUGGGCAAACAGACAGUUUGACUCUGUAACAAGAAAUUCUGCCAUUACUACUGGGGCACGACCCAGGGUGGGUCCGGACAGCCUCUCCCCUCGCUGUCCCCACAACCUCAUCAGCUCCUUGGGCCCCUGAGUCUUCACGCCUUCUCAGCGCACACAGCGGGCAGCUCCCCAUCUCUUCCCUCAGCGCCUCCCCCCAGAUCAUGACCCUGACCCUCCCUGCCACACACCCUGGGGCUGCCAGCUUUGCUACUUGAAUUCUGUACUUUCUAUUUCAUAAUAGACGUGAUUAAUAAAAGAAAAACGCAAAAGUC